GCUGUUUCCAGACGCUGGGGACUCCCUGACCCAUCUCGGCCCUUGCCAGGACACCUUUUCACCCAGGGCAGGGGACAGAGGCCUCUGAGCCACAGGCCUCCAGCAGUUUCCCCCAGAUUCCCAGUGGCCUGGUGGCCCCACCCCACACAGUGCCACCUCUUGACAUUGUCCACUGUGUGGAGGGUGCUACUAUGUAGAAUGUGGACCAGCAACAGCCCUGCCCCCGUGUCUGGGUGCACCAUCCAGUUCUGCAGAUGUGGAGACUGAGGCUGCUGUGGCAGGGUUCGGGUUAUUGCCUGGUGUGGGGGACACUGGACAGGGAAGGAGGUACUAUCUGGGUGACCGCAGACCCUAGGUACACAGCCUGGACUGGGCAGAGGGGACACGUUCAGAGGUGUGAGAAGCUGAACCCCCAGGACUUAGUGACAGGGCUGUGAGGGGUAAAGAGGGGUCACCACGCCCACCCCCCGGGUGGGGAACGUGGAGGGCAGUGAAGGUGUGGUGGAUGUGGCUGCAUUGGACGGGUUGGGUGUGGAGAUGCCUGAGGGCCAUAGGUGGGUGGCUGGACGUGGUGAGGGUAUGGAGCCUGACAGACACCCCGCUGGAGUCAGAUGGAAACCUGGGAGGGGUCCUUGUGCAGCUGGCUUGGAGGGGAUUUGGUCUCAGCAUGCAGGGCAGGGGUGCAGGUGCAAACCGGGGCCCCAGGGAACAGCCCGGGCGAGGUCGGGAGGGGCCUGUGGUGUGACCGCCGGACCAGCAGAGGUGGGGAAAGACGUGGCAGGAACCCUGGGGCGGCCAAGUGCGGGGCAUCAGCUAUGCCUGGGGACGGGGUGCGUGUCCAUGGCCCGGUGCCUGCAGCAAGCGGACACUGAGGCAGAGAGGGGUGCGAGAGUCAGGGGCUGGGGGCACUGCUAGCCCAAAGAUUGGUUGGGUGUAGCAGGUGGUUGGGUGUGAAGGACUUGGGGAGGGGGAGCAGUAUUUAAGGACUGGUGGAACAGGGAGUUGACUGCUGUAUCUGGAAGGCCAUCCAAAGGCCAGGGGUAAACUGAGGCUCUGUGAAGCUGCCUGACUUGUGAGAUGUCUGCCCCGAGCCCACCCCAUAGCCCCUUCAUCCUCCCCUCCCACACCUGCCCCGUGGAGAAUCCCUGCCUAGCUCAUUGUCUGCCUCCCCUCUGGACCGCAGGCUCCCGGGGCAGGGGCAGGGUUUGUCUUACCCCUGGCUGUGAGGUCUCAGACAGGUUGCUUGCUCUGAGAGGUGAGGGUAGGGACCUCAGGGUGCCCAGAAGGGGCAGGGCUGGGUGAGGGGGCACAGUGAGCUGGGGGUGCAGGUCUCAGAAUAGCACGGACCUAAGGCUGGUCAGUGAGGCCUGGGGUGUGGCUGGAGAAGGGGUGAGGACUUGGGGCUGAGGUGGCCACGUGGGUGGAUGGACGACGCCCUCAACCUCUUCCCGAGGGCUGUGGGUACACCAGGAGCCCCUGCAGGGAACAGUCGACUUCAGGGGCUGCUGCGCAGCCCAUUGUGCCUGCCCUAGGAGCCCAGGAUGGCAUAGGAGUCCCCAGGAAGUUCACCACCUCCCUGGGGAGGACAGGUCUGUGCUGGGAAGCAGCCUGGGACCUGUAGCUAUAGAGUGCUAGAAGUGGGGCAGCCACGGAAGGCUGCCUGGAGGAGGUGGAAGGAGGCCUGAGCACUGUCCCAGAGAGCGCUCCCAGAGGCAGACCCACGUGGGCAGCUGUGGCACUUUGCCUCAGGGCUUCCCUCGUUGCUUGUUACUCUACUUCCUCUUGUGGUGACUGACUCUUGGGAAGACCCGCCCUGCCCUUCUCUGAGGUUCUCAAAAACAUAAGCGACGCUUUAUUUUUAUUUGUUUUUAAAAAUAUAGCCCUGGGCAGGAAUCCAAGAGUGCUUCCUGGAGGCUUGCUGGGUGUGUGCCCGCAGUGCCACAUGCGGUUUACUCACAGGGCCCAGACAGAAGAUGCCUCUGCUCGGGGCUGGGGGACAGUGGUGGCCCCAGGGGGACUGGGAGCCUCCUGCCUGCCCUCUACUCCCCUCGCUUGGGUUUGGGUCGGGAAUAUCACAAGAACGCGGGCUCUUGCCCAAGGUCCCACAGCACAUCUGGGCAGAGUCAGGGUUCCAGGCCCUCUCCCACACCUCAAGUUUCCUGCAUGACACCCGGGACUUCUGCCUGUCCCGUCCCCAUCUCACAGCAACACAAUCCAAAAGAUGUUGGUCCCAGAUAGCCCCUGGGCUGUGCACCCAUUGCAAGGAAAGAACUGCUGGCUGCUGACCCACUCUGACCCAGACAACCGGAAGUGCAGCCCCUGCCUUGGGGAGCUCCGAGCCAUCCCUGUUGGAGGCCCCCACACUACCCUCCUGCCUUUGCACAGCUUUAGUUCAGGUGAAUUGUUGGCAGGUGGCUCGGAAGAGUGGGUCAUAGUGGGUCUCUGUUUCCUGAGCAUGUGGGGCUCUGCAUCCUGGGGUCCUACCCUCCAGGAGACCCCAUUCUGGGGGAAGAAAAUAGAGCCUCAAGAAUUGUCUGGGUUUCUGGAAGGCUUCCUGGAGGAAGGGGAACUUGAGCAGGCCGGGACCUUGCCAGGUUUCCCGUGCUGCAUGCAGCCUCACUGGCCAUGGUGGCAGACACUGCCUGGGCAUGGGCCAUUGCCACCAAACAUCUCUCUGGCCCAGAGAAGUGACCCAGGGUCCCAGGGCCACACAGCCAUUUUGGGGAAAGCAGGUCUGGUCUUGGGCGUGGCACUGCUGACUCUGGGCCUCAGCCAUCCCAACCUAGCACUGUGGAGGAGCAGGAGUGAGGGCCCCAGUCACCUGUGCCACCCAGGGCCAGCUCUGUGAUAGCCUGGGUGCUGAUGGGUGCUCUUUGUACCUGGGUCCUUUAAACCGCCCCCAACACACUGGCCAGGUUCUGGGGUCAAAGACUCCUCCAGCCACCACCUGGGAUUUACCUGUGAGAGGGACACUGGUGGAGUCUGAGGAACCGCCCAGGCCAGACUGGCUCAGGGUCAGAGUCCCUGACUCUGGGGCGCCGUGGUCUUCAGUGACGCCCGGGAGGCUGUGUGUGUGAGUGUGUGUGUGUGUGUGUGUGUGUGUGAGUGUGUGUGUGUGUGCGCGCGCGCGCGCAGGUACUCGCGUGUUAGUGCGGCACGCCCCGGCUGGCCUGCGGGCCUUAGUUUCCCCCGCUCAGCGCCGCGGCCCGGCCCGCCGCCGCCAUGUCGUUGCAGCGCGCUGCAGGAGCAGAAGGGCGAGCUGCGCAAGCGGCUGUCCUACACCACACACAAGCUCGAGAAGCUCGAGACCGAGUUCGACUCCACGCGCCACUACCUGGAGAUCGAGCUGCGGCGCGCGCAGGAGGAACUGGAGAAGGUCACGGAGAAGCUGCGCAGGAUUCAGAGCAACUACAUGGCACUGCAGAGGAUCAACCAGGAGCUGGAGGACAAGCUGUACCGCAUGGGCCAGCACUAUGAGGAGGAGAAGCGUGCGCUGAGCCACGAGAUUGUUGCCCUCAACAGCCACCUGCUAGAAGCCAAGGUGACCAUCGACAAGCUGUCGGAGGACAACGAGCUCUAUAGGAAGGACUGCAAUCUAGCGGCCCAGCUGCUGCAGUGCAGCCAGACCUACGGCAGGGUCCACAAGGUGUCUGAGCUGCCCUCGGAUUUCCAGGAGCGCGUGAGCCUGCACAUGGAGAAGCACGGCUGCAGCCUGCCAUCCCCGCUCUGCCACCCGGCCUACGCUGACAGCGUCCCCACCUGCGUCAUUGCCAAGGUGCUGGAGAAGCCGGACCCCGCCAGCCUGUCCUCCCGCCUGUCCGAUGCCUCCGCCCGCGACCUGGCCUUCUGCGACGGGGUGGAGAAACCAGGCCCGCGGCCCCCCUACAAGGGAGACAUCUACUGCAGUGACACAGCCCUCUACUGCCCGGAGGAGCGGCGGCGAGACCGGCGGCCUAGCGUGGACGCGCCCGUGACCGACGUGGGCUUCCUGCGGGCCCAGAACUCCACUGACAGCGCGGCCGAGGAGGAGGAGGAGGCCGAGGCGGCGGCCUUCCCGGCGGGCUUCCAGCACGAGGCCUUCCCCAGCUACGCGGGCUCACUGCCCACGUCCAGCUCCUACUCCAGCUUCAGCGCCACGUCGGAGGAGAAGGAGCACGCGCAGGCCAGCACGCUGACCGCGUCGCAGCAGGCCAUCUACCUGAACAGCCGCGACGAGCUCUUCGACCGCAAGCCACCCGCCACCACCUACGAGGGCAGCCCUCGCUUUGCCAAGGCCACGGCCGCGGUGGCGGCCCCGCUGGAGGCCGAAGUGGCCCCAGGCUUCGGGCGGACCAUGUCACCGUACCCGGCCGAGACCUUCCGCUUCCCGGCCUCUCCGGGUCCCCAGCAGGCCCUGAUGCCCCCAAACCUGUGGAGCCUGCGGGCCAAGCCGGGGACCGCCCGGCUCCCCGGGGAGGACAUGAGGGGCCAGUGGCGUCCCCUGAGCGUGGAGGACAUCGGCGCCUACUCCUACCCCGUGAGCGCUGCCGGCCGCGCCUCACCCUGCAGCUUCUCUGAACGCUACUACGGCGGGGCCGGGGGCAGCCCGGGCAAGAAGGCCGACGGCCGCGCCAGCCCGCUCUACGCCAGCUACAAGGCCGACAGCUUCUCCGAGGGGGACGACCUCUCCCAGGGCCACCUGGCAGAGCCCUGCUUCCUGCGGGCGGGCGGCGACCUGAGCCUCAGCCCCGGCCGCUCGGCUGACCCACUGCCCGGCUAUGCACCCAGCGAGGGGGGGGACGGGGACAGGCUCGGGGUGCAGCUGUGUGGGACCGCCAGCAGCCCUGAGCCCGAGCAGGGUUCCAGGGACUCCUUGGAGCCGAGCUCCAUGGAGGCCUCCCCGGAAAUGCAUCCUGCCGCCCGCCUCAGCCCCCAGCAGGCCUUUCCGCGGACUGGUGGCUCGGGGCUGAGCCGCAAGGACAGCCUCACCAAGGCCCAGCUCUACGGAACCUUGCUCAACUGAGCGCCUGCGUGCAGGCCCGGCCGUGGUUCGCUCCCCGCCAGCCCACGUGCCCCAGAAGGGCCGGCCUCACCUCUCCCCAGCCCCCGCUGUUCCCCCGCCCCGGCCAACAAGGAGGAGUCUGUUCCUCCCCGCACCUCCUCUCCUCCCCAGCCCUGUAGGCCUGAGAGGAGGGUCCCCCACACCACGGUGUCCACCCAGCCCCGCCCCGUGGAACUCCACUUAGAGCGUUUUUCACACGUCCUUCCCCCAUGUGAGAGGAGCAUCCCCCCUUUUAUAAAGCGAAACUAUUUUUAUAGAGAAAAAGGGUCUUUCUUAACGCACUUGGCCUCCAGCUCCCUGGACGGCUGCCUUGGCGUUUUCAACACAAAGCUCCUUUAUUUUUUGGGCGAGGGUGCGUGGGGCCUGCCCCUUGGAAGGGAAGGGAAGGACGGUGUCCUGUGGAGACCAGACUCUGCAAGUGGGGAGACCACCCCCGCAAGCCAGUGACAAGGGAACCCUGAAGUUGUGUCCACGAAGAGGGAGCUGAAACAAAUCCGGGGCUAUGAAGUGUUUUAAAAAUCCAUUCUUCGCAGUGUGGCCACCACACCGCCCUGAGCCCUCCCACGGCCCAUAGUCCCGGGUGGGCCAGGAUGAUGCCCCAGUGCGGCCGGUGCUCAUCUCCGCCCCCGGGUCCGCCCCCCGACACCGUCUUACUCUACCUCAGACAUGAUGAGGCCCUCCAUUCCUGGUUUCUGUAGCUUGCAUUCUUGUUGUCUCUGAUGCAUGCCCUGUCAGUUAGUACUGUAUUUUGCAUUCAUUAAUAAAAGACACCGGUGG
Molecule: small RNA, 5818 nt
Filed under: Pan troglodytes (chimpanzee)
Lineage: Eukaryota; Metazoa; Chordata; Mammalia; Primates; Hominidae
Description: retained intron
Source: RNAcentral